Saccostrea cuccullata (small rock oyster) is the source of this 1081-nucleotide long non-coding RNA. RefSeq lists it as uncharacterized. The record is from RefSeq and is a predicted model, not a curated record. The transcript has 3 exons. NCBI's taxonomy places the organism in Eukaryota, Metazoa, Mollusca, Bivalvia, Ostreida, Ostreidae.
UGAUUUUUGGCUUCAUGGAAUAGUAGAAUUUUCUUUAUGGAAGAUCACAUUUAUUUGGGAAAAAGAGUUGUCAAAUACUUGUGCAGACUGCAGACUUUUCAAAUUCAAAGGGCACCAUGUGUUCCUUGACAGAUUAUUCAUAUUCAUUUCCUUGGAUAGGGCUGGGCUUUACAAUGGGAUUUUCAGCUGUUGAGCUAUAAAGAAUUACUAUGUAGGGUUUCCAAUGUAAUUUUGUGAACAGAAUCCAGAAAUAAGAAGAGGAGGGACAAUGCAGUUGCAGCAUGAGCAUGACCAAUUACUUGCCACUGCUGAGAAAAUGGUACAUGCUUUGAAUACUACUCUUGUGUAUUUGGAGACAGUCCAGUUGUUCUUUAAACCAGGAGUGGAAAUUUCAGUGCUUGUUAAAUUUUCUCCAGAACUUAUUGGAUGCUACAUAGGAAGAAAAUGGGGUCAUACUGAACAGAAUAGUUUGGAUACACCUUAUAGAUUUUGAAAGCUUGAGACCUCAAGAUCAACCCAAAUGGUGUACCGAACAUGAAGAAAAAAAGACAGUUUAUAAUUGAAGAAGCUUGCGUAGUGACCAAUAUUUCAGGGUAUUUCAUAUAUAUUAACUUGUACGAUUUUAUUGGUACAUGUACUUCAACAUUGUUAACAUCUUAAUAUUAAACAUGUAUCAGGUUCACUUGCAGGAAUACACAAAAAUUCAGAGUAAAUUUUCAGUGUUUGUUUUGUUAGAUAAGGUCAAAGAUCAAGGUCAACAGUGCUUUUGUUUUACCAAAUAUAACACAAUUAUAAAGACUAAUUUCCUGUAUACAGGUAUAGCAAAUAAUUCAUAAUAUGACUUGGGAAGCUGUGACUUUUUUCUUUUAAAUCUUAUCUUAAUUUAGAAUAAUGAUGUAUACUUAAGCAAGUAGAAUUUUUUCAAGCAUACAAAAUUUUAAGGUCAUUUUAAUUUUGGAAGUGAAUAUAAAAUAUCAGGAAGCAGUCAAGCAUUGUAAUUUUUUUUGUUGUUAGUUAUUGAGUAAUAUUCAAAUUUUAAUCUGCAAUGAAAUUAAAAAUUAGAAAUGUCCUAAUUUGUUGA